AUUGAACGCUGGCGGCAGGCCUAACACAUGCAAGUCGAACGGUAACAGGAAGAAGCUUGCUUCUUUGCUGACGAGUGGCGGACGGGUGAGUAAUGUCUGGGAAACUGCCUGAUGGAGGGGGAUAACUACUGGAAACGGUAGCUAAUACCGCAUAACGUCGCAAGACCAAAAAGGGGGACCUUCGGGCCUCUUGCCAUCGGAUGUGCCCAGAUGGGAUUAGCUAGUAGGUGGGGUAACGGCUCACCUAGGCGACGAUCCCUAGCUGGUCUGAGAGGAUGACCAGCCACACUGGAACUGAGACACGGUCCAGACUCCUACGGGAGGCAGCAGUGGGGAAUAUUGCACGAUGGGCGCAAGCCGGAUGCAGCCAUGCCGCGUGUAUGAAGAAGGCCUUCGGGUUGUAAAGUACUUUCAGCGGGGAGGAAGGGAGUAAAGUUAAUACCUUUGCUCAUUGACGUUACCCGCAGAAGAAGCACCGGCUAACUCCG
Molecule: ribosomal RNA, 488 nt
Filed under: uncultured bacterium
Lineage: Bacteria
Description: partial 16S ribosomal RNA
Rfam family: Bacterial small subunit ribosomal RNA
Source: RNAcentral